RNAcentral lists this long non-coding RNA (318 nucleotides) under Hordeum vulgare. Its description in RNAcentral is "long non-coding RNA (HVUL_LNC020953)". The record is from RNAcentral. Lineage: Eukaryota; Viridiplantae; Streptophyta; Magnoliopsida; Poales; Poaceae.
GGUGUUGAUCGCUAGUUCCGCUCUUGGCGCCACCGCUCUCCCUGCGCCGAACGAUCAAGGGAUCCUCGGAGGUUCCCAUAGGUGUCAUUUUCCCGACAACGACGACGACAACAAUAACAACAACAACGAAAAAGCGAUUGCAAUAACAACAACAACAAACACGAUGACGACGACGACUACAACAACAACAACGAUAACAGCGACAACAACAACAACAAGAAGAAGAACAAGAAGAAGAAGAAGAAGAAGAAGAAGAAGAACAACAACAACAACAAAAACAACAACAACAACAACAACAACGAGGACGACGACGACGAC